RNAcentral lists this small nucleolar RNA (134 nucleotides) under Sorex araneus (European shrew). RNAcentral describes it as "Small nucleolar RNA SNORA72 (ENSSARG00000016592.1)". It matches the Rfam family "Small nucleolar RNA SNORA72". From Rfam's summary of the family: U72 is a member of the H/ACA class of snoRNAs. The snoRNA gene is located in intron 4 of the ribosomal L30 protein gene in human, mouse and chicken. Lineage: Eukaryota; Metazoa; Chordata; Mammalia; Eulipotyphla; Soricidae. The record is from RNAcentral.
CUGCAAAUAUUUUUGCUGUUCUGAUUCAGUAAUAAUGUGCAGGCUAAACUUUUGCUACAAUAAGAUCAUUCAGGUGUUCUCAGACCUAGUUUUUUAUCUACUCAGUUCUGUUCUUAGAAAUUAUGGUGAUAGGG